GACUCCUACGGGAGGCAGCAGUGGGGAAUUUUCCGCAAUGGGCGAAAGCCUGACGGAGCAACGCCGCGUGAGGGAUGAAGGCCUCUGGGCUGUAAACCUCUUUUAUCAAGGAAGAAGAUCUGACGGUACUUGAUGAAUAAGCCACGGCUAAUUCCGUGCCAGCAGCCGCGGUAAUA
RNAcentral lists this ribosomal RNA (176 nucleotides) under uncultured freshwater bacterium. RNAcentral describes it as "partial 16S ribosomal RNA". It matches the Rfam family "Bacterial small subunit ribosomal RNA", at positions 334 to 525 of the family's 1533-position model. The record is from RNAcentral.